ACGGGAGGUAGCAGUGAGGAAUAUUGGUCAAUGGACGAGAGUCUGAACCAGACAAGUAGCGUGCAGGAUGACGGCCCUCUGGGUUGUAAACUGCUUUUGUACGGGAAUAACGUGACCUACGUGUAGGUUUUUGCAUGUACCGUAAGAAUAAGGACCGGCUAAUUCCGUGCCAGCAGCCGCGGUAAUACGGAAGGUCCGGGCGUUAUCCGGAUUUAUUGGGUUUAAAGGGAGCGUAGGCCGUGCUUUAAGCGGGUUGUGAAAUGUAGGCGCCCAACGUCUGCACUGCAGCGCGAACUGGAGCACUUGAGUACGCAGGAAGUAGGCGGAAUUCGUCGUGUAGCGGUGAAAUGCUUAGAUAUGACGAAGAACUCCUAUUGCGAAGGCAGCUUGCUGGGCCGCAACUGACGCUGAAGCUCGAAGGUGCGGGUAUCGAACAGGAUUAGAUACCAUGGUA
Molecule: ribosomal RNA, 454 nt
Filed under: uncultured Prevotella sp.
Lineage: Bacteria; Pseudomonadati; Bacteroidota; Bacteroidia; Bacteroidales; Prevotellaceae
Description: partial 16S ribosomal RNA
Rfam family: Bacterial small subunit ribosomal RNA
Source: RNAcentral